RNAcentral lists this ribosomal RNA (506 nucleotides) under uncultured bacterium. RNAcentral's name for it is "partial 16S ribosomal RNA". It matches the Rfam family "Bacterial small subunit ribosomal RNA", at positions 28 to 523 of the family's 1533-position model. The record is from RNAcentral.
GAUGAACGCUAGCUACAGGCUUAACACAUGCAAGUCGAGGGGUAACGAGAGGAAAGCUUGCUUUCCCUGUCGACGACCGGCGCACGGGUGGGUAACGCGUAUCCAACCUGCCCCCAACUAGGGAAUAACCUUGCGAAAGUAAGACUAAUACCCUAUAAUUUCCUCAGAUGACAUCUGACGAGGAAUAAAGAUUUAUCGGUUGUGGAUGGGGAUGCGUCUGAUUAGCUUGUUGGCGGGGUAACGGCCCACCAAGGCAACGGUCAGUAGGGGUUCUGAGAGGAAGGUCCCCCACAUUGGAACUGAGACACGGUCCAAACUCCUACGGGAGGCAGCAGUGAGGAAUAUUGGUCAAUGGGCGGAAGCCUGAACCAGCCAAGUAGCGUGCAGGAUGACGGCCCUAUGGGUUGUAAACUGCUUUUAUACAGGAAUAAAGUUAGCCACGUGUGGUUAUUUGUAGGUACUGUAUGAAUAAGGACCGGCUAAUUCCGUGCCAGCCGCCGCCGUAA